This 253-nucleotide ribosomal RNA is filed under the name uncultured bacterium. Its description in RNAcentral is "partial 16S ribosomal RNA". It matches the Rfam family "Bacterial small subunit ribosomal RNA", at positions 524 to 776 of the family's 1533-position model. The record is from RNAcentral.
GACGUAGGAUGCAAGCGUUGUCCGGAAUUAUUGGGCGUAAAGAGCGUGUAGGCGGCCGAGUAAGUCCGGUGUGAAAACUCGAGGCUUAACCUCGAGAUGUCAUCGGAAACUAUUCGGCUAGAGUCCGGAAGAGGAGAGUGGAAUUCCUGGUGUAGCGGUGAAAUGCGCAGAUAUCAGGAAGAACACCUAUGGCGAAAGCAGCUCUCUGGGACGGUACUGACGCUGAGACGCGAAAGCGUGGGGAGCGAACAGG